GCGGGAGUAGUUCAGUGGUAGAACGUCAGCUUCCCAAGCUGAAUGUCGCCGGUUCGAUCCCGGUCUCCCGCUCCA
This 75-nucleotide transfer RNA is filed under the name Occallatibacter riparius. Its description in RNAcentral is "tRNA-Gly". It matches the Rfam family "tRNA". Rfam says of the family: Transfer RNA (tRNA) molecules are approximately 80 nucleotides in length. Their secondary structure includes four short double-helical elements and three loops (D, anti-codon, and T loops). The record is from RNAcentral. Lineage: Bacteria; Pseudomonadati; Acidobacteriota; Terriglobia; Terriglobales; Acidobacteriaceae. RNAcentral also lists the same sequence under 25 other names.